This 462-nucleotide ribosomal RNA is filed under the name uncultured bacterium. Its description in RNAcentral is "partial 16S ribosomal RNA". It matches the Rfam family "Bacterial small subunit ribosomal RNA", at positions 28 to 507 of the family's 1533-position model. The record is from RNAcentral.
GACGAACGCUGGCGGCGUGCUUAACACAUGCAAGUCGAACGGAAAGGCCCUUCGGGGUACUCGAGUGGCGAACGGGUGAGUAACACGUGGGUGAUCUGCCCUGCACUUUGGGAUAAGCCUGGGAAACUGGGUCUAAUACCGAAUAGGACCACGCGCUUCAUGGUGUGUGGUGGAAAGCUUUUGCGGUGUGGGAUGGGCCCGCGGCCUAUCAGCUUGUUGGUGGGGGAAUGGCCUACCAAGGCGACGACGGGUAGCCGGCCUGAGAGGGUGACCGGCCACACUGGGACUGAGAUACGGCCCAGACUCCUACGGGAGGCAGCAGUGGGGAAUAUUGCCCAAUGGGCGCAAGCCUGAUGCAGCGACGCCGCGUGAGGGAUGACGGCCUUCGGGUUGUAAACCUCUUUCAAUAGGGACGAAGCGCAAGUGGCGGUACCUAUAGAAGAAGCACCGGCCAACUACGUG